This 90-nucleotide transfer RNA is filed under the name Acyrthosiphon pisum (pea aphid). Its description in RNAcentral is "tRNA-Met". RNAcentral also lists the same sequence under 1 other name. Lineage: Eukaryota; Metazoa; Arthropoda; Insecta; Hemiptera; Aphididae. The record is from RNAcentral.
AUUAAAUUAUUUAAAUAAGUAUAAAUUUUAUUUUAUAAAUUUUAAUUUUUUAUUAUUAAUGUUUAUUAAUUUAAUUUUUAUUAUUUAAUU